AUUGAACGCCGGCGGCAGGCCUAACACAUGCAAGUCGAACGGUAACAGGAAACAGCUUGCUGUUUCGCUGACGAGUGGCGGACGGGUGAGUAAGGUCUGGGAAACUGCCGGAGGGAGGGGGAUAACUACUGGAAACGGUAGCUAAUACCGCAUAAGGUGGCAAGACCAAAGAGGGGGACCUUGGGGCCACUUGCCAUUGGAGGUGCCCAGAUGGGAUUAGCUAGGGGGUGGGGUAACGGCUCACCUAGGCGACGAUCCCUAGCUGGUCUGAGAGGAUGACCAGCCACACUGGAACUGAGACACGGUCCAGACUCCUACGGGAGGCAGCAGUGGGGAAUAUUGCACAAUGGGCGCAAGCCUGAUGCAGCCAUGCCGCGUGUAUGAAGAAGGCCUUCGGGUUGUAAAGUACUUUCAGCGGGGAGGAAGGGAGUAAAGUCAAUACCUUUGCUCAUUGACGUUACCCGCAGAAGAAGCACCGGCUAACUCCGUGCCAGCCGCCGCAGUAA
RNAcentral lists this ribosomal RNA (506 nucleotides) under uncultured bacterium. RNAcentral's name for it is "partial 16S ribosomal RNA". It matches the Rfam family "Bacterial small subunit ribosomal RNA", at positions 29 to 523 of the family's 1533-position model. The record is from RNAcentral.